GACGAACGCUGGCGGCGUGCCUAAUACAUGCAAGUUGAGCGCUGAAGGUUGGUACUUGUACCAACUGGAUGAGCAGCGAACGGGUGAGUAACGCGUGGGGAAUCUGCCUUUGAGCGGGGGACAACAUUUGGAAACGAAUGCUAAUACCGCAUAAAAACUUUAAACACAAGUUUUAAGUUUGAAAGAUGCAAUUGCAUCACUCAAAGAUGGUCCCGCGUUGUAUUAGCUAGUUGGUGAGGUAAAGGCUCACCAAGGCGAUGAUACAUAGCCGACCUGAGAGGGUGAUCGGCCACAGUGGGACUGAGACACGGCCCAAAAUCCUACGGGAGGCAGCAGUAGGGAAUCUUCGGCAAUGGACGAAAGUCUGACCGAGCAACGCCGCGGGAGUGAAGAAGGUUUUCGGAUCGUAAAACUCUGUUGGUAGAGAAGAACGUUGGUGAGAGUGGAAAGCUCAUCAAGUGACGGUAACUACCCAGAAAGGGACGGCUAACUACGUG
This 497-nucleotide ribosomal RNA is filed under the name uncultured bacterium. RNAcentral describes it as "partial 16S ribosomal RNA". It matches the Rfam family "Bacterial small subunit ribosomal RNA", at positions 28 to 507 of the family's 1533-position model. The record is from RNAcentral.